GGCGGUAGCUCAGUGAUUAAGCUGUUGGACUACUGCUCAGAAGGUUAUGAGUUCAAUCCCCAACACUGCCA
Molecule: non-coding RNA, 71 nt
Organism: Ameiurus melas (black bullhead)
Lineage: Eukaryota; Metazoa; Chordata; Actinopteri; Siluriformes; Ictaluridae
Source: the annotation of a GenBank genome assembly